GAUGAACGCUGGCGGCGUGCCUAAUACAUGCAAGUCGAGCGAACGGACGAGAAGCUUGCUUCUCUGAUGUUAGCGGCGGACGGGUGAGUAACACGUGGAUAACCUACCUAUAAGACUGGGAUAACUUCGGGAAACCGGAGCUAAUACCGGAUAAUAUUUUGAACCGCAUGGUUCAAUAGUGAAAGACGGUCUUGCUGUCACUUAUAGAUGGAUCCGCGCUGCAUUAGCUAGUUGGUAAGGUAACGGCUUACCAAGGCAACGAUGCAUAGCCGACCUGAGAGGGUGAUCGGACACACUGGAACUGAGACACGGUCCAGACUCCUACGGGAGGCAGCAGUAGGGAAUCUUCCGCAAUGGGCGAAAGCCUGACGGAGCAACGCCGCGUGAGUGAUGAAGGUCUUCGGAUCGUAAAACUCUGUUAUUAGGGAAGAACAUAUGUGUAAGUAACUGUGCACAUCUUGACGGUACCUAAUCAGAAAGCCACGGCUAACUACGUG
This 497-nucleotide ribosomal RNA is filed under the name uncultured bacterium. RNAcentral's name for it is "partial 16S ribosomal RNA". It matches the Rfam family "Bacterial small subunit ribosomal RNA", at positions 28 to 507 of the family's 1533-position model. The record is from RNAcentral.